Molecule: ribosomal RNA, 440 nt
Filed under: uncultured bacterium
Lineage: Bacteria
Description: partial 16S ribosomal RNA
Rfam family: Bacterial small subunit ribosomal RNA
Source: RNAcentral
CCUACGGGUGGCAGCAGUGGGGAAUAUUGCACAAUGGGGGAAACCCUGAUGCAGCGACGCCGCGUGGGUGAAGAAGUAAUUCGUUAUGUAAAGCUCUUUCAGCAGGGAAGAAAAUGACGGUACCUGUGUCAUAAGCCACGGCUAAAUACGUGCCAGCAGUUGCGGGAACACGUAGGUGGCGAGCGUGAUCCGGAUUUACUGGGUGUAAAGGGAGCGUAGACGGGAGUGCAAGUCUGGAGUGAAAGGCGGGGGCUCAACCCCCGGACUGCUCUGGAAACUGUACGGUUGGAGUGCAGGAGAGGUAAGUGGAAUUCGUGGUGUAGCGGUGAAAUGCGUAGAUAUUAGGAGGAACACCAGUGGCGAAGGCGGCUUACUGGACUGUAACUGACGUUGAGGCUCGAAAGCGUGGGGAGCAAACAGGAUUAGAUACCCCUGUAGUC